UACGUAGGGUGCAAGCGUUGUCCGGAAUUAUUGGGCGUAAAGAGCUCGUAGGCGGUGUGUCGCGUCGGCCGUGAAAACCUGCGGCUCAACUGCAGGCUGGCGGUCGAUACGGGCAGGCUGGAGUUCGGUAGGGGAGACUGGAAUUCCUGGUGUAGCGGUGAAAUGCGCAGAUAUCAGGAGGAACACCGGUGGCGAAGGCGGGUCUCUGGGCCGAUACUGACGCUGAGGAGCGAAAGCGUGGGGAGCGAACAGG
RNAcentral lists this ribosomal RNA (253 nucleotides) under uncultured bacterium. Its description in RNAcentral is "partial 16S ribosomal RNA". It matches the Rfam family "Bacterial small subunit ribosomal RNA", at positions 524 to 776 of the family's 1533-position model. The record is from RNAcentral.